RNAcentral lists this long non-coding RNA (1166 nucleotides) under Monodelphis domestica (gray short-tailed opossum). Its description in RNAcentral is "lncRNA (ENSMODG00000036557.1)". Lineage: Eukaryota; Metazoa; Chordata; Mammalia; Didelphimorphia; Didelphidae. The record is from RNAcentral.
GAUGAAAUUCAGGUCCAGUCACCCCCUCCCCCCUAAAAUAAUCCCUAGGUUCAUCAGGAAUAAAGAAUAUGCUAUACUUUGUCUCUGGUACCCACUCAAGCAAAUCUACUCUCCACAGUCAAAACUGAAAUCUGCCUUUCUAAAAAUGGUUGUUACUUGUCCUUUCAGCUUUGAAGAGGAUUGAUGACAUCAUAAUGUUGGGGUAAAAUAGUGGGUGGUGGGUGAUGUUUUGGCCUGACUGUGAAUUUGAUUUAAGUGAAGCAGAGUUGCACAAAGUCGUCAGCUUCAUUUCCUCUUCCAGAAUCAUCCAAGCCCAUUGCAGGAAAAAGUUAGGCUGACUAGUGAUAGCCUGGGAUGUAGUGGAUAACCUUGGCAGCUCCAAUGUUUGAGCAAGUUUUAAGGACUCCAUAGAGUCUGCUUCAGCUGCCUUUGUGGCCAUUGGAGCAAAUUGUUCUCAUCCACCCAUUCCAAGGGAGAAGUCUUCACAUGCUUGGGGUGGGCCCCCCUCCUCCACUACCACCAACAGGUUUGAGGCCUGUUGGUUACCCUCCACCUGGUUUAGCCUGUCCGCUUAGAUGGUUUAUUAGGGUGUGGAUACUGGCUAUAUUACCGCUUCUUCGAGUCUCGGGUGAGAGUUGGGUGAAAGGUGGAUACCAAAGAUAGAUGAGCAACCCUGAGAAGGGCUUGGCAAGCCUUCACACUUUUGGCACUAGUCCUCCUUGAACACUCCACAGACCCUUAUCAUGCAGGAGGGUAUGGUAAAAAGAAGGCUGGACUUCUUUAGGGGAAACCUGGUUGUGUUGAUCUCCAUCUCUAACUUGUGCUACUUGUGGGACUCUGGAGUGACCCGAGGUCCUGUGAGAGUACACCGAGGUUUCCUGCGUACAUACUUCUUGGAUGAAGCCUUUCUGGGACAGAUUUUCCCGUUCAACGUUGUAAAAGCCGCCACUUGCCUAGUCUCUCAACCGCGUUAUUUAAACAUCGGGGUGUGAUUUCAGAGGCUUGAAGCUUGUUUCCCUCUUUCAUCAGAGUGGGACCGGCAGGCCACGUACACUCAGGGCCAGAACUAGGGUGAGGUGACUGAGACUUUGCUCCAAGGCAUCGAAAUUGAGAAAGCGUUCCUGCUCCUUUCUUGAUACAGAAGCAAUUGAGCUUCGUACAAAGCU